CGGUAAUACGUAGGAUGCAAGCGUUAUCCGGAAUUAUUGGGCGUAAAGAGUGUGUAGGUGGUUUGUUAAGUUAAAUGUUAAAUCUUCAGGCUCAACUUGAAGGCUGCAUUUAAUACUGGCAGACUCGAGGUAUGGAGAGGUAAGCGGAAUUAGUAGUGUAGCGGUGAAAUGCGUAGAUAUUACUAAGAACACCAAUGGCGAAGGCAGCUUACUGGCCAUAUUCUGACGCUGAGACACGAAAGCGUGGGGAGCGAACAGGAUUAGAUACCCUGGUAGUCCACGCCGUAAACGAUGAUCACUAGCUGUGCGGGGAGUCGACCCCCUGCGUAGUGAAGCUAACGCGUUAAGUGAUCCGCCUGGGGAGUACGGUCGCAAGGCUAAAACUCAAAGGAAUUGACGGGGACCCGCACAAGCGGUGGAACGUGUGGUUUAAUUCGAUACUAAGCGUAAAACCUUACCGAGACUUGACAUCCCUGGAAAGACCUAGAGAUAGGUCCGUGCCGAAAGGAACCAGAUGACA
Molecule: ribosomal RNA, 520 nt
Filed under: uncultured Wohlfahrtiimonas sp.
Lineage: Bacteria; Pseudomonadati; Pseudomonadota; Gammaproteobacteria; Cardiobacteriales; Ignatzschineriaceae
Description: bacterial SSU rRNA
Rfam family: Bacterial small subunit ribosomal RNA
Source: RNAcentral